Molecule: RNA transcript, 4863 nt
Organism: Vespula pensylvanica (western yellowjacket)
Lineage: Eukaryota; Metazoa; Arthropoda; Insecta; Hymenoptera; Vespidae
Gene: Smox
Gene name: mothers against decapentaplegic homolog 3
Exons: 7
Source: RefSeq, a predicted model, not a curated record
GAAAGAGAUAGAUAGAUAGAUAGAAAGAGAGAGCGAGAGAGAGAGAGAGAGGAGAGAGAAGACAGAGAGAGAGAAAGAGAAGAGAGAACGGAAUCCCCGAUGCGGCGGGGUGUCUCGCGCACGUAACGAGCGCAAAUGACGACUUCGAUGUUGCUCAGCUUCAACCCGCCUAUCGUGAAGCGGCUGCUAGGCUGGAAGAAGGCCGAGGGCGAGGACAAAUGGAGCGAGAAGGCCGUCAAGAGUCUCGUUAAGAAGUUGAAGAAGUCGGCGGGUCUCGAGGAACUCGAGAAGGCCAUUACCACGCAAAGCUGCAAUACCAAGUGCAUCACUAUACCGAGGCCUAGCCCGGGUGGCGUGGGCGACAACGGGGUCCAAGGUGUACGAGGCAAGGGUCUCCCCCACGUGAUCUAUUGUCGUCUCUGGCGUUGGCCAGAUUUGCAAUCGCACCACGAGCUAAGGGCGAUCGAGCACUGCGAGUACGCUUUCACGCAAAAGAGGGACGAGGUCUGCGUAAAUCCUUAUCAUUAUCAACGAAUACAAACUCCAGUUUUGCCGGCCAUUCUCGUGCCGCGGCACAAUCUAGCCGGGGACGAGACCGUACUCUACAACACCUCCCUCGAGGAGCUGAGCGUCAGCGUACCGGAAAACACGAGCUUCCACGCGACGUUGAAUCAUCAGCAUCACAAUCAACAAAACAUACCGCAAUCGCCGCAACAACAACAACAGCAGCAACAACAACAACAACAGCAGCAGCAACAGCAACAGCAGCAGCAACAACAGCAACAACAACAACAACAACAACAACAACAGCAACAACAACAGCAGCAACAGCAACAACCGAACAAUCCGUACCAAGGAAUGCAGAGUAUGCAGGCAACCAGUCCAGCGAGUGUUGGGAGUCUAGGAAGCGUGCAGGGCUCGCCUCAUCCUACGUCAGGAUCUAUGGAUCCUCCAGCUGAUACACCACCACCGGGAUACAUCAGCGAGGACGGCGAUAACAUGGAUCACAACGAUAACAUGUCUCUAUCCCGUUUAUCACCCAGUCCUGUAGAUGCCCAACCUGUAAUGUACUGUGAGCCAGCUUUCUGGUGUUCGAUAAGUUAUUACGAGCUGAACACAAGAGUUGGAGAGACGUUUCAUGCCUCACAGCCAAGUAUCACAGUGGAUGGUUUCACGGAUCCAAGUAAUUCCGAACGCUUUUGUCUCGGUUUGCUCUCGAACGUUAAUCGUAAUACCGUGGUGGAACAGACCAGACGGCAUAUCGGUAAAGGCGUGAGACUCUAUUAUAUCGGUGGUGAGGUCUUUGCGGAGUGUCUCUCCGAUUCGAGCAUCUUUGUGCAAAGUCCAAAUUGCAAUCAACGUUACGGUUGGCAUCCGGCUACCGUUUGCAAAAUACCACCUGGCUGUAAUCUGAAGAUCUUUAAUAAUCAAGAAUUCGCGGCAUUAUUGUCGCAAUCGGUGUCGCAAGGUUUCGAAGCGGUUUAUCAGCUGACGCGUAUGUGUACGAUCAGAAUGAGUUUCGUUAAGGGAUGGGGAGCGGAAUAUCGAAGACAGACAGUGACAUCAACGCCAUGUUGGAUCGAGUUGCAUCUAAAUGGUCCGUUGCAAUGGCUCGACAGGGUACUCACACAAAUGGGUUCACCACGUUUGCCCUGUUCCUCGAUGUCCUAAAUCGUAUGAAGAUCGAAUCAAUGAAAAGGAUUAUGAAGAAGUUGUCGCUUUCUUAUCGUCGUCGUCGUCGUCGUCGUCGUCGUCGUCGUCAUUGUCGUCGUCGUCGUCGUCGUCGUCGUCGUCGUCAUCGUCGUUGUUAAUCGAUCCGUUUUUCAUUUUCCCUUUAACGUCGUCGAUAAUAUCAUCUCACAUAACCGGGAUUUUACAGUGAACGAAUCGCAGUGACAAGCGAGGAGAAAAAACGAACAUAUAAUUAUACAUAUACAUAUAUAUAUAUAUAUAUGUAUAUAUGUGUGUAUGUGUAUGUAUAUAUAUAUAUAUUUACACAUAAUACACAUAAUAGUUUAUUUGCUAAAACGUGAAAGACAAACGAGAUAACGAUAAAUCUACGUACGCCAAAAUACGUCGAGGAUUAUAUAUCUCUCUUUGUAGGCUCGAUUCGACGAUCUGAGCACGAUACAAUGUCACACAACAAUGCUAAUUACAAGCAGAAGAGGAAGAAAAACAAGAACAAAAAGAAGAAGAAGAAGAAAAAGAGGAAGGAAAUGGUUAUUCGUUGUUAACUAUACGUAAAGCCUUUUGUGAUUCGGCGAACGAUCGAUAAUCGGAAAGAGAAGAAGAAAAAAGUCCAUGAUCGAGAACGUUCAAGCCUGUAUAAAAAAGAAAAAGAAAAUGAUCACGUUAACGUAUUUAAUCGCCAUAAGAGUACGUUGCUAUCUAUAUGAAGGGGUAAAAUUAUUUGAUUUCGAUUUGAUGAAUGAGAGAGAGAGAGAGAGAGAGAAAUAGAGUACGUAAUAAUAACGGGAGACUCUUGUUAAUCAAAAUAAUCGUAUUCACAAUGGUCUCUCAUUUUAAAAGAAAAGAAAAAGAAGGAGAAAUAGAAGAAGAAAAAAAGAGUACUCGUCGGUCCUUCGUUAAAAAUAUUUUUUAUUGCUUAUCGAACGAACGCACUGCAGUUGUUGAGACGAUACAUACUUAUAUCUUUUUGUGGUGACACCCAGACACAUACACGAACAAACAAACAACAAACACACAUUCAUACGCGCGCGCGUAAUUAUGUAUUAUAUUUACUGGAAUAAGAAUUGUGUGUGUGUGUGUGUGUGUGUAUGUGUGCGUAUGCGUGCGUGUGGACGAAAUUCUCUCGCAUAUCAUGUAAAUUUGCGCGUAGUAGGUUACAUACAUAUAUGCCGUUACGAGGUUUAUAAGAUUGUGAUUUUUUGUUUGUUUUUCUGUUCUUUUUUUUUUUUCUCUAUUUUUUUUUCCCUCCAUAAAAGUCUUUUUAUAAUGAUGAUCUCGAUAUAUACGAUAUAACGAAAGAGAAAUAAGAUAAAUAAUUAGGAUAAUAAUGAAUUUUCUUAUUUGGAAGGACCAGUGGUGUUUUGUGCGCACACGAAAGAAGAGAUCUUCGAUGAUUAUGAUGAUUAUUUUAUUUAGUUGAAAUUACUAUUUGAUAAAUUACGAUUGGUAAUGGGAUAUAUAAGUCAUAGGUAAUUUUUCAAAUGUGCAGUCAAUUGUAAAAAGAAAAAGAGAGAGAGAGAGAGAGAGAGAGAGAGAGAGAGAGAGAGAGAGAGAGAGAGUGUUGAUUCUAAGAAACAAAGUGAAAAAGAUAUAUCACUAUUACGUAUUAUGGUGUCUUAUCUUAAUUAUCCUGUUAAGAAUAAGCGCUCUGUAUUAUUUGUUUUUGUCGAAUAAGGAUAUUUAAAGAAAAAAAAAAAAAAAAAAAAAAAAAAAGGAAAAAAAGAUAGAAAAAAAAAAGAAAAUAUAUCACCCACAUAGAGUUCGUAAAGAAGAAGGAAGAUAAAGAAACGAGGAAUAUCUUAUUAUUCGUGUGGCAUUGCGAGUGAAAUUAUUAGUGAAAAAUGCAGUGAGAGAGAGAAAAAAAUAUAUAUAUAUAUAUGUAUUAUAAAAAAAUCACGAGGAUCGUUAAUUGAAUAUUACUGUCGAUACGAAAUUUUGGCUCUACAUUAUCGUGUAUGGUGUGUGCGAAGAUAGUGUGUAUGCGAAGUGAGAAAAAUGAAAGAAAGAUACACACACACACACACACACACAUAUAGGAAACAAAUUGUAUGCCAUUCAUUGUCCAAUCGUGCGAGUAUAUAGAUUUUUUAUUGCAUGUUUUUACAAUGUCGCAAACGGAGGAAAAGAUUUUUUUUUUCUUUUUCUUUUUGUUUCCUUUUUUUUUCUCUUCGACGAACGAUCUUAAUCGUAAUAUUUUGUUAUCGUCACAGUAUGACUGUAUCGAACGUAUAAUUUUUAAAAAACAAGGUAGAUAAUGUGAAUGAAGCAAAAAAGAAUAUAUAUAUAUAUGUAUAAACGUAUGUAUAUGUAUAUAUAUAUAUAUACGUAAAUACAUACAUACAUACAUACAUACAUACAUACACAUAAGAAUAGGGAUGUGCGAACAUGAACAAGUGAAUUUUUAAUAUAUGCGAUAUCAAGCUAAAAUUCAACGUGUAUAUUUCGAUAUAUAUAUAAACAAAUAUAUAUAUGUAUAUAUAUAUAUGUAUAUAUAUAUAUAUAUGUAUAUGUAUAUUAUAGAGUCUAAACAAACAAGCAAACAAAUUAUAUAUUAUAUAUCAUUGUGUGUAACACACGAACAAGAGGUAAGAACAAAGAUUUGAUGCAGAGCGCAUACGAAGAUCAUUCUCGUUAGUUUAAUAAGAAAAACUUCUUAGCUUUAUAUUUGUGUGAAGUCAUUGAGAGUUCAAAAAAGAACAAAAAAAGAAAACUGUUGGGAGAGGGCAUUGUGAGAGGAAGGAGGAGGGGAAAGAAAGGUGAAAGAUUAAUCAUAAAGCGAGAUUUCUAUUUUAUUGCAGAAUUUUGAUAAUAUAUUUGAAAAUUAUUUCGAUUAGAGAAACUAAACAUAAUCAGAUGUUUACCGAGCGACAUUUUCUUUUUCUUUUUUCUUUAUUUUUGUUUCCCUUUUUUUUUCUUUUUUUUUUUCUCUCCUUUUUUGCUGUCCCUCUUUUUUUUUUUUCCCUGGAAAUUCGUAAGAAACAUUAUGUUAACGAACAUUAGGCGAAACCUUUUUCGUUCUAUUUUCUGUAACGUUUUAGAAAAAAAGGGAAGGAGAGAGAGAGUAUAUUAUUUGUACGGAGAUCAAUGAGAAGUACCGAGGGUCCAAUUUUUGCACGCACAUAAUUUAAAGGAAAAAAAAGAAAAAAGAAAAAGAAAAAAAAAUAAGGGGUGAAA